GACGAACGCUGGCGGCGUGCUUAACACAUGCAAGUCGAACGGAAAGGCCCGGCUUUUGUGGGGUUCUCGAGUGGCGAACGGGUGAGUAACACGUGAGUAACCUGCCCUUGACUGUGGGAUAACUUCAGGAAACUGGGGCUCAUACCGGAUAGGAGCUCCUGCUGCAUGGGGGGGGUUGGAAAGUUUCGGCGGUUGGGGCUGGACUCGCGGCUUAUCAGCUUCUUGGUGGGGUAGUGGCUUACCAAGGCUUUGACGGGUAGCCGGCCUGAGAGGGUGACCGGCCACAUUGGGACUGAGAUACGGCGCAGAAGCCUACGGGAGGCAGCAGUGGGGAAUAUUGCACAGUGGGGGGAAGCCUGAUGCAGCAGCGCCGCGUGCGUGAUGCCGUCCUUCGAGUUGUGAACCGAUUUGGCCUGUGACGAAGCGAGAGUGACGGUAAUGGGUAAAGAAGCACCGGCUAACUACGUG
RNAcentral lists this ribosomal RNA (468 nucleotides) under uncultured bacterium. RNAcentral's name for it is "partial 16S ribosomal RNA". It matches the Rfam family "Bacterial small subunit ribosomal RNA", at positions 28 to 507 of the family's 1533-position model. The record is from RNAcentral.